Molecule: non-coding RNA, 64 nt
Organism: Dipodomys ordii (Ord's kangaroo rat)
Lineage: Eukaryota; Metazoa; Chordata; Mammalia; Rodentia; Heteromyidae
Source: Rfam
GGGAAGUUGACUCAGUGAUAGAGUGCUUGCCUUGCAUGCAAGAGGCCCUGGACUAGAUUCCUCA